This 253-nucleotide ribosomal RNA is filed under the name uncultured bacterium. Its description in RNAcentral is "partial 16S ribosomal RNA". It matches the Rfam family "Bacterial small subunit ribosomal RNA", at positions 524 to 776 of the family's 1533-position model. The record is from RNAcentral.
UACGGGGGGGGUAAGCGUUGUUCGGAAUUACUGGGCGUAAAGGGCUCGUAGGCGGCCAACUAAGUCAGACGUGAAAUCCCUCAGCUUAACUGGGGAACUGCGUCUGACACUGGAUGGCUUGGAUUCGGGAGAGGAAUGCGGAAUUCCAGGUGUAGCGGUGAAAUGCGUAGAUAUCUGGAGGAACACCGGUGGCGAAGGCGGCAUUCUGGACCGAUAUUGACGCUGAGGAGCGAAAGCCAGGGGAGCAAACGGG